CCCUACGGGGCGCACCAGGCGCGAAAACUUUACAAUGCGCGAAAGCGCGAUAAGGGGACCCCGAGUGCGAGGGCAUAACGUCCUCGCUUUUGUAUAUCGUAAGAAGAUACACGAAUAAGGGCUGGGCAAGACCGGUGCCAGCCGCCGCGGUAAUACCGGCAACUCGAGUGAUGAUCACUAUUAUUGGGCCUAAAGCGUCCGUAGCCGGUUGAACAAGUCCUUCGGCAAAUCCACUCGCUCAACGAGUGGGCUCUCGAGGGAAACUGUUCGACUUGGGGCCGGGAGAUCUGAGGGGUACGUCUAGGGUAGGAGUGAAAUCCUGUAAUCCUAGACGGACCGCCGAUGGCGAAAGCACCUCAGAAGAACGGACCCGACGGUCAGGGACGAAAGCUAGGGUCUCGAACCGGAUUAGAUACCCGGGUAGUCCUAGCCGUAAACGAUGCUCGCUAGGUGUUGCGAAAGCUACGUGCUUUUGCUGUGCCGUAGGGAAGCCGUGAAGCGAGCCGCCUGGGAAGUACGUCCGCAAGGAUGAAACUUAAAGGAAUUGGCGGGGGAGCACUACAACCGGAGGAGCCUGCGGUUUAAUUGGACUCAACGCCGGAAAUCUCACCAGUACCGACAAUUGCAAUGACAGUCAAGUUAAUGACUUUACUCGAGUUCUUGAGAAGAGGUGCAUGGCCA
This 681-nucleotide ribosomal RNA is filed under the name uncultured haloarchaeon. Its description in RNAcentral is "bacterial SSU rRNA". It matches the Rfam family "Archaeal small subunit ribosomal RNA", at positions 321 to 1000 of the family's 1478-position model. Lineage: Archaea; Methanobacteriati; Methanobacteriota; Halobacteria; Halobacteriales; Halobacteriaceae. The record is from RNAcentral.